AAACGGUUCGUUCCGUACAGAGAAUUUCCGGGAGGAAUGGCGCGACCCUCCUUCCGGGAAGGCUUACCGUGCGGUUCGACUGUGGCUAAGGAUAGCCGCAGUUACU
Treponema primitia ZAS-2 is the source of this 106-nucleotide regulatory RNA element. It matches the Rfam family "Termite-flg RNA". The record is from Rfam. Lineage: Bacteria; Pseudomonadati; Spirochaetota; Spirochaetia; Treponematales; Treponemataceae.